CACUCCUACGGGAGGCAGCAGUGGGGAAUUUUGGACAAUGGGCGAAAGCCUGAUCCAGCAAUGCCGCGUGAGUGAAGAAGGCCUUCGGGUUGUAAAGCUCUUUUGUCAGGGAAGAAACGGUGAAAGCUAAUAUCUUUUGCUAAUGACGGUACCUGAAGAAUAAGCACCGGCUAACUACGUGCCAGCAGCCGCGGUAAUACGUAGGGUGCAAGCGUUAAUCGGAAUUACUGGGCGUAAAGCGUGCGCAGGCGGUUUUGUAAGUCUGAUGUGAAAUCCCCGGGCUCAACCCGGGAAUUGCAUUGGAGACUGCAAGGCUAGAAUCUGGCAGAGGGGGGUAGAAUUCCACGUGUAGCAGUGAAAUGCGUAGAUAUGUGGAGGAACACCGAUGGCGAAGGCAGCCCCCUGGGUCAAGAUUGACGCUCAUGCACGAAAGCGUGGGGAGCAAACAGGAUUAGAAACCCCGUAGUCCCAUGA
This 474-nucleotide ribosomal RNA is filed under the name uncultured organism. RNAcentral describes it as "partial 16S ribosomal RNA". It matches the Rfam family "Bacterial small subunit ribosomal RNA", at positions 334 to 800 of the family's 1533-position model. The record is from RNAcentral.